UAGCUGUGAGUUUCCAGAGUUUAAGGGGAAC
RNAcentral lists this non-coding RNA (31 nucleotides) under Homo sapiens (human). Lineage: Eukaryota; Metazoa; Chordata; Mammalia; Primates; Hominidae. The record is from RNAcentral.